UUGGAGGGCAAGUCUGGUGCCAGCAGCCGCGGUAAUUCCAGCUCCAAUAGCGUAUAUUAAAGUUGUUGCAGUUAAAAAGCUCGUAGUUGAAUUUCGGGGUCAGCAGGUUGGUCGUGCCAAUGGUAUGCACUGGCCUUGCUGAUUCCUCCCUCUUGAUGAGCCGUAAUGCCAUUAAUUUGGUGUUGCGGGGAAUCAGGACUGUUACUUUGAAAAAAUUAGAGUGUUUAAAGCAGGCAAGCGCUUGAGUACAUUAGCAUGGAAUAAUGAAAUAGGACGUUUAAUCCUAUUUUGUUGGUUUCUAGGAUUGACGUAAUGAUUAAUAGGGAUAGUUGGGGGCAUUAGUAUUCAAUUGUCAGAGGUGAAAUUCUUGGAUUUAUUGAAGACUAACUACUGCGAAAGCAUUUGCCAAGGAUGUUUUCAUUAAUCAAGAACGAAAGUUAGGGGAUCGAAGACGAUCAGAUACCGUCGUAGUCUUGACCAUAAACUAUGCCGACUAGGGAUCGGAUGAUGUUAAUUUUUUAAUGACUCAUUCGGCGCCUUACGGGAAAC
This 549-nucleotide ribosomal RNA is filed under the name uncultured Glomus. RNAcentral's name for it is "SSU rRNA". It matches the Rfam family "Eukaryotic small subunit ribosomal RNA", at positions 548 to 1098 of the family's 1831-position model. The record is from RNAcentral. Lineage: Eukaryota; Fungi; Glomeromycota; Glomeromycetes; Glomerales; Glomeraceae.